UACGAGGGGGGCGAGCGUUGUUCGGAAUUAUUGGGCGUAAAGGGUGCGUAGGCGGUUUGGUAAGUCUUAUGUGAAAUCUAUGGGCUCAACUCAUAGUCUGCAUGAGAAACUGCCGGGCUUGAGUAUGGGAGAGGUGAGUGGAAUUCCCAGUGUAGAGGUGAAAUUCGUAGAUAUUGGGAAGAACACCGGUGGCGAAGGCGGCCUUCUGGACAGUGACUGACGCUGAGACGCGAAAGCGUGGGGAGCGAACAGG
Molecule: ribosomal RNA, 253 nt
Filed under: uncultured bacterium
Lineage: Bacteria
Description: partial 16S ribosomal RNA
Rfam family: Bacterial small subunit ribosomal RNA
Source: RNAcentral